RNAcentral lists this long non-coding RNA (1291 nucleotides) under Equus asinus (donkey). RNAcentral's name for it is "lncRNA (ENSEASG00005032909.1)". The record is from RNAcentral. Lineage: Eukaryota; Metazoa; Chordata; Mammalia; Perissodactyla; Equidae.
AUUCUCUCCUUUAGCGAAUUUCUCUUGAUCCUUUCUCUCUUAGGCUCGGUGAACUGCCCCUCCACUAUGUUAUGAAAAUGUUCUCUAUCUCUACCAUCACUGCACAGGUCAUAUAUUAUUAUAAUUUUUAUUUUGUUUUUAAAAAGGUAAUACAGAUGCAACAAACAGGCUUUCACAUCGUCCCAGAAUGAUGACUGAAUACUGCAUUCUUGGUUCAGAGCAAAGCCAACAGGUGGUUCAGCUAUCUUUCUUCAUGCUUAAGAUAGAAACAAAUUCAGAAACCAGCUCUACUCCAACCAUCCUCCCUCCACACAGUCAACACAAGAAGACAGACUAUCCCCCCACCCACAUUUCUGUGGAGGACAUGCUGUCUUUUCCCAAGGCCAAGUGGAGGUCCCAAAAGAAUUUCUGUUUAAAAAAAACACAAAGUGGGGAAACCUAUAAAAAGGGUGACUGUCAUUUUUAUUCCAUUUUGAAUGUCUGCUUUACCAGAGAAUUGACGACAAUCAGAUGGGAGGAGUGAGCAUUUUACCAGUAAACCAUGUUGGAGUCACCAUCUGUCUACAACAGCUACCUGGAGUGCAUAUACAAUGAGGGAGAAUGGCAGUUACCACCAACUUCAGGCAGAACUGUGGCUGGCCCAGUCAGGAAGAUAUGUUUUGUUCUUUUCCUGCUACCUCAGCCUCACCCUGACAGGGAAGAGAGCAGCAGUGGGUAGAGGAAGGGGAGAGGAGAGAAGUGAAAGUCAGACCAUGCAACACACCCUUCCAUUACAGCAUGGCUUGAUGAGUGUUAUGUAGGUCUGCGCCCAGGAUCUGAACCUGUGAACCCUGGGCCACCAAAGUGGAGUGCACAAACUUAACCACUACCCCACCAGAAUGUUUAUUUAGCCCCCUGGGACACCUGAUGUUUCUGGAUAAAGCCUGCUCGUCGGAAGAACUUCUGCUGACUGAUUGUGUGAAUAGUUCUCCCCCUGUCAGGGUGCUUGAAGUGGCUACCACUAGUCUAGCUUUGGGAAAGCCCUAGGAAUUGCCUGAUGAAGUCGCCUAGCGAUUGCCGGAGCCUGAUCAUGCAACAGGCAAUACUACUGGGAUUUCAGGUUAAAAUUCUGAGAAUGGUUUUACAUAUGCUAUUCAGACACAUGAUUGAUUACACCUCAAGUGUGUACAGCAUCUUCCAACCAACUAUGAGAACCAUGUUCCUUGAAAUUGCAUGGCAGAAGAACUGGUGGUUGAAGAAGGGAAGAUGUCACGAAAAAAAUAGAAGUAGGGAGCCAGUUUCCAAGUAAGCC